RNAcentral lists this long non-coding RNA (1304 nucleotides) under Salvia miltiorrhiza (redroot sage). Its description in RNAcentral is "long non-coding RNA (SMIL_LNC003590)". The record is from RNAcentral. Lineage: Eukaryota; Viridiplantae; Streptophyta; Magnoliopsida; Lamiales; Lamiaceae.
UGUCUAAGUCUAUUAAUUGUACACGUCUCAGUGUGUAUAUAUAUGAGCCAUUAAACGUAUACAAUUUUCGUGCUCUUUAGCUCUUCAUAUUUUGAUCACAAUAUAUAUUUUCUUAUAAAAAACCCUCCAUAUAUAUAUAAGUCUCCUGGUUUAGCAUUGCAUGUAUGGAUGAUCAUGUCGAUGUUAAGCAAUAAUUAGAUUGCGUUUUGGGAAGUUGAUCAAGAUUCGGCAUAUUUAGUCUCACUCAUCGGUAUGUUCUUGUGCUUCAUUAUUUGUUCUAGCUUCUUACAUAAAUCUUAUGAUAUAUUGAUAUUUAUUGCUAUUGUGAUGUGUGACACUGUGGUAAAAUCAUCAUAUAUAUAGUUACUUAUACAUAGGAAGAGAUUCAAAUAAAAACCAACUUAAUUAUCGUUAAAAUUAUGAAAACUCUUGCACAUAAUGUACAAAGUAGAUACAUGUAAGGUAUAAACUAAAUGCAUUUAAUAUAUAAAGUAAUUUCACUAUGGUAACAUUAUACUUUUAGCUCAUAAUCGUAAUGUACGUAUACUUUUUUACAUUCUAUGUAAAUACUUUGUACAUUCUAUUCAAAAGUUCUCAUAAGAAAUUUUUAUUUUAACCUGAGCCCUUAUGCUUAUUAGUAAAGAACAUCUUUUAGGCCUUAAUUAAACUAGCUAGGCGCAACUUGCAUACGUUUCACAUUCUAGUCUCUUUUUUGGCUUCUUCCAUUAACUCUACAUUUCCACAAUUUCUUUUUGCCUAUAGUUUGUGUUAGAUAUGUCAAUAUUUGAAUAAACUCCUCGAUCUAUGGAAUAAUUUAAGAAGGAAUAUUGACGGAAUUCUGAUAAUGUAGUUAGAGUAGUACUAAGUUAAUUGAGUGAAGUGAGGACUAGUACAAAUAAAGUUACAAAAGAAAUGGAAUUCAAAUAUUUAAUUAUUUUCUAUUCAUAAACUACUGUUCAUAUAUUUUAAGUAAUUGCUGGGAAACAGGCAACCAGUUUAGUGCCCACGAAUUAAAUAGUUACUAUAUUAUAAUUCCUUGUACAUAUUCAAUGAACUUUUCCUAUAUUUGACAAUUUAAUAUGGCUUUUGUCAGAAAAUGUUCCUUUAUUUAAUAUUCUUUUGGAAAAGAGUCGCAAAUUUUCUAAGACACUACUAUUUAUUAUGCUUUACAAAGCUAAAGAUCCGAUUCCUUUGUAAAGAUUAUAUUCCCUUUUCCAUAAACGAUGAAAUUACUGCUCUCAACUAGGUUAAUGUUAUGCUACGUUUGGAGGAAACUAGAUAUAAUUACAAAUUAUAUAUAUAUA